This is an RNA transcript of Bactrocera dorsalis (oriental fruit fly), 1980 nucleotides long. It is a transcript of the gene named lysosome-associated membrane glycoprotein 5, with no coding region annotated. The record is from RefSeq and is a predicted model, not a curated record. Lineage: Eukaryota; Metazoa; Arthropoda; Insecta; Diptera; Tephritidae. The transcript has 6 exons.
GCUAUUGGCAGCCAACAUUGCGCACCGCAACGGCAACAGGACAAGUAAUCGAAAGUGAUUGCAAAGCAUUUAUACAAACUUUCACUCGCAAGUUAGUUUAACACACGGCUGGUGGUACGUGCUAAGGAGGCAAAGUGGCAGUGCGAAAAAUCGAAAAAACAUUGAAAAUAGCAAUUAAUAACAAUUUGUGAAUUUUAGUUAAAAAUCGGCAAGGAAAGUAGUUACACAGCAGUUACAAUCAUGUUGCUUAAGGCAAGCCAAAAUGGGCCACAAAUUGCCUGUCUUCUGCUAUUUGUUUUAGUUUCGCUUUGUGAUGGCUUGCAGUUAGGCGCUUUUACCACCAAAACGCCCAGGGUUACCAAGUACACGACGAAGCCAGCGUCGUCCUCUUCAAUGAAUCAUGAUGCGACAACCUCGAUUUAUCGUCUCAAUGCCACAAAUGGCAUCACCUGCAUUUUGGUUAGUGUGGAUGGCCUCAUCAGUAUUAAAUAUCGUAAUAAAUUGAAUGAAGAUGUUGAGGCGGAUCUCUAUCUGCCCGAUGAUCCAAAGCUCACGGGCGAAUGUGUGGAAUCCAAUAUGGAAAUAUUGAGAUUAGAUUUUAAAGGAUUCGCCUUGACAAUGACAUUCCGCAAGUCAUCUGGUGGCGAAGGCUGGUACAUCAAUCAAUUCGAACUCACUUAUUCCUCAUCGAAUUCGCUAUUCGAACAUCCCGAUCGCCCAAAUCUCGAUGUGAAACUUACUUCACCGGCACACACGCCAAUGUACUUCCCAACACCCGUCGGCAAAUCAUACGUUUGUGAUAAGGAGCAAAGCGUCGUCUUGUAUGCACCUAUAGAUUCUGGCGACAUGUCGGGACACAUUGCACGCCUCUAUCUGCGCGAUCUGCACAUGCAAAGUUUCAUGUUUAAGGAGAGCGGCAAGUGGGGCCCACCGUUCCAUUGCAGCGCUACGGGUUCAUAUCGCGACGAGACGGCACCACUAGCGGUGGGCACCGCCUUGGCGAUAGCGGUACUCAUAACAAUAUCCGGCUACGGUGGUUGGCGCUACUUCAAAAUCAAGAAAGUGCAAUAUGGUUCUAUGGAGUAAGCACGAUUUGGACGGAAAAAUGUUACUUGCUUACAAUGCGCUCGUUGGCUUAGUGAAUACGUGAAAGUUAAUUCGGUUCUUUUCAACAUGCAGCCUUACAAAAAUUAAGAAACAUAAAGUAAAAUGUUUCGCUGGUGAAAAAACGCUGUACAUAUCUGGUUAUUAUGCGUUAUAUAACUGUAAAAUAUGUAAUUUUCAAUUUGUUAUGUCUAAGGAAAUUUAUGCGUGUAUACAAAUACCAAAACGGAAAGGCAAUGGCGCAUGUCAUGUAGCAAUUUAUUUAAAUGAUGAGUUAAGCAUCCACCCACUCUAGCCGGCAAAAACUGGCCCAUCCUAGUAAGACACAGCUUAUAUACCACAGCCGAUGACACCAUAACACAUACAUUACCACACAACACAACUCACCACACUUCUACAUCAACCCACUAAACAUAAAGGAUGCUCCGCUGAGCAGGUUCAACAAUUCGAUCUAUACAAGCCGGGCAUAAACAUUCGUUUACACACUGCGUCGCGUCGUCGCCUUUCGCCAACACAAUUCGAUCUAAACAAGUCAACAAGUCAAUCCGCUACCAAAAUUCGAUUCCCAACUGCGCCGCGUAAACAUUAAAGUUUUUAAUACAUUCCGUUCUGCACUGCGGCGCAGUCAAAAGUUCCCACGCGCUAGAAACAACUUCGGGUCAACCCAAUUCCUGCGAGCAGCGUCUUAUUUUCAACCCAACAACAUUUAUCGCUGCGUUUAAUUAAAUAUAUCUUUAUGUACAUACAUAUUUAAUAUUUAUUGUGCUUUAAUUAUAAUAAAAUUAAAGUAAUUGUGCACCAAAUUACCCGAGUAUUUUUAAUAAUCGCGGGUGUAAGUAAGGAACCUCAAAUUGAGUGGUUUAAACAAAGUUUUUU